GCCUAUCUAUAUUCAAUUAGUUUAUUCAGCUGUUAAAUAAAAAAAUUAUUUAACCAUGUCAGAAUUUUAUUUCAUAAUAAAAUUAGCUAGAUAUAAAAUACAUACAAUGAAAUAACAAAUAUUAUAACCACCCGUGCAUUGCACGGGUUCAGACUACAAGCUUGAUACAGAGAAACUUUUUGACGAAGUGUGAAUUCUUUUUAGGUUUAAAUUUUGGCGUUUAUGUUAUUUUUCAUGUCAAGUUCUUUGCUUAUACUAAUAUUUGAGCAUAUAUAGGAAGACAUAAGUGAAUUAUUUACAUGACUAUAUUUGUGAGCAUCAUUUUUGUCCCUUACGAAAAAAAUUGUUGGUAUGUUUUUCAGAGGGAAUCAGACAUUGCAUAGCUUGAGCAAGGUGUGUAACUCCCCUUUUGAGGUUUCAUCCUGUCUGGCAUAAAACCGACUCAUAUAAUGAUCUCACAAUAAUGACAAAAACUGAAUCUUCACGAUUAUUGUUGAAUGACUAUAAGACUAUCAGUUGCAUGGAGUUGUGGACUAUAUUUUUCAAUUUGUGAUGCCAUGCUAUUCUAAAUUCCUUUAAGUUGGCUUACAUAAUAUUACUGCUUAGUUUUGCCAGAGUGCAACUUUUCAUUUCUUCGAACCUGCUAAGCUAAUUCUUAUCAAGGGAAAAACUUGAGAAAAAGGACAUCAAGAGGCUUACUAAGUCCUAACUCUGCCUUACAUUUGAAGACCUUAGAUAGAACUGUUUUUCUUCACCUUGAGUAUAUUCUCUAUCUAUGUAUGCAUGAUAUACACACUUGAUUAAGGUAUGGUUUGUUUAUCCUCUUUUUUAGACAGUGUGUACAGUAUUAAGUGUUAUAGUUGGAGGCUUAGUAGCAGAACAUUCGGUGUUUGGUUACUCAGCAGGACUUCUCUGACGUGAAGAAGGUCGGCUACAUGUCCUGUGUGCUAAUCCUUAGAGAUUCAUCAAAAUUGUAUAUUACUGGUUUUUAUCGCUUUUAUAAAUUAUUUUUAAUUCAUUUUUAUGUAAGACUUAUAAUGCAAGUGAUUUAGACACUUAAUAUUAUUAUUAUUGGUAAGAGACGUUUUUUAGUAGAGUUAUCCAGUUUAAUAUGUGGACUAAUCUUAUACUGUCAACUUUGUAUGACUUU
RNAcentral lists this long non-coding RNA (1150 nucleotides) under Daucus carota (carrot). RNAcentral describes it as "long non-coding RNA (DCAR_LNC006574)". The record is from RNAcentral. Lineage: Eukaryota; Viridiplantae; Streptophyta; Magnoliopsida; Apiales; Apiaceae.